AAGGUCCAACCUCAUGCGUCCU
RNAcentral lists this microRNA (22 nucleotides) under Ophiophagus hannah (king cobra). RNAcentral's name for it is "oha-miR-2188-5p". Lineage: Eukaryota; Metazoa; Chordata; Lepidosauria; Squamata; Elapidae. The record is from miRBase by way of RNAcentral.